UCAUAGUCCGUGACUGCAGCCCAGGUAAUCCGGGUGGUGGAAGCGUUAAUCUGAAGUAGUGGGCGUAGAGCGCACGCAGACGGGUGGAUAAGGUAGAUGGGAAAGACCCAGGCUCAACCUGGGAAUGGCAUUGAAAACUGGCCAGCUAGAGGCUUGUAGAGGGGGGUAGAAUUCCAGGUGUAGCGGUGAAAUGCGUAGAGAUCUGGAGGAAUACCGGUGGCGAAGGCUGCCCCCUGGACAAAGACUGACGCUCAGGUGCGAAAGCGUGGGGAGCAAACAGGAUUAGAUACCCCGGUAGUC
This 300-nucleotide ribosomal RNA is filed under the name uncultured Halorubrum sp. Its description in RNAcentral is "bacterial SSU rRNA". It matches the Rfam family "Bacterial small subunit ribosomal RNA", at positions 496 to 795 of the family's 1533-position model. The record is from RNAcentral. Lineage: Archaea; Methanobacteriati; Methanobacteriota; Halobacteria; Halobacteriales; Haloferacaceae.